CCUACGGGAGGCAGCAGUGGGGAAUAUUGGACAAUGGGGGAAACCCUGACCCAGCGACGCCGCGUGCGUGAAGAAGUAUUUCGGUACGUAAAGCUCUAUCAGCAGUAAAGAAAAUGACGGUACCUGACUAAGAAGCCCCGGCUAACUACGGGCCAGCAGCCGCGGUAAGACGUAGGGGGCAAGCGUUAUCCUGAUUUACUGGGUGUAAAGGGCACGUUGACGGCAGCGCAAGUCUGGAGGGAAAUGCCGGGUCCCAACCCCGGAACUGCGCUGGAAACUGUGAAGCUGGAGUGCAGGAGAGGUAAGCGGAAUUCCGGGUGUAGCGGUGAAAGGCGUAGAGAGCAGGAGGAACACCGGGGGCGAAGGCGGCUUACUGGACUGUAACUGACGUUGAGGCUCGAAGGCGUGGGGAGCAAACAGGAUUAGAUACCCCGGUAGUC
Molecule: ribosomal RNA, 440 nt
Filed under: uncultured bacterium
Lineage: Bacteria
Description: partial 16S ribosomal RNA
Rfam family: Bacterial small subunit ribosomal RNA
Source: RNAcentral